RNAcentral lists this ribosomal RNA (375 nucleotides) under uncultured organism. Its description in RNAcentral is "partial 16S ribosomal RNA". It matches the Rfam family "Bacterial small subunit ribosomal RNA", at positions 527 to 896 of the family's 1533-position model. The record is from RNAcentral.
GUAGGUGGCAAGCGUUGUCCGGGAAUUAUUGGGGCGUAAAGCGCGCGCAGGCGGUUCUUUAAGUCUGAUGUGAAAGCCCACGGGCUCAACCGUGGAGGGUCAUUGGAAACUGGAGGACUUGAGUACAGAAGAGGAGAGCGGAAUUCCACGUGUAGCGGUGAAAUGCGUAGAGAUGUGGAGGAACACCAGUGGCGAAGGCGGCUUUCUGGUCUGUAACUGACGCUGAGGCGCGAAAGCGUGGGGAGCAAACAGGAUUAGAUACCCUGGUAGUCCACGCCGUAAACGAUGAGUGCUAAGUGUUAGGGGGUUUCCGCCCCUUAGUGCUGCAGCUAACGCAUUAAGCACUCCGCCUGGGGAGUACGGCCGCAAAGGCUG